Molecule: ribosomal RNA, 497 nt
Filed under: uncultured bacterium
Lineage: Bacteria
Description: partial 16S ribosomal RNA
Rfam family: Bacterial small subunit ribosomal RNA
Source: RNAcentral
GAUGAACGCUGGCGGCGUGCCUAAUACAUGCAAGUCGAGCGAACAGACGAGGAGCUUGCUCCUCUGACGUUAGCGGCGGACGGGUGAGUAACACGUGGAUAACCUACCUAUAAGACUGGGAUAACUUCGGGAAACCGGAGCUAAUACCGGAUCAUAUAUUGAACCGCAUGGUUCAAUAGUGAAAGACGGUUUUGCUGUCACUUAUAGAUGGAUCCGCGCCGCAUUAGCUAGUUGGUAAGGUAACGGCUUACCAAGGCAACGAUGCGUAGCCGACCUGAGAGGGUGAUCGGCCACACUGGAACUGAGACACGGUCCAGACUCCUACGGGAGGCAGCAGUGGGGAAUCUUCCGCAAUGGGCGAAAGCCUGACGGAGCAACGCCGCGUGAGUGAUGAAGGUCUUCGGAUCGUAAAACUCUGUUAUUAGGGAAGAACAAAUGUGUAAGUAACUAUGCACGUCUUGACGGUACCUAAUCAGAAAGCCACGGCUAACUACGUG